Molecule: ribosomal RNA, 293 nt
Filed under: uncultured bacterium
Lineage: Bacteria
Description: partial 16S ribosomal RNA
Rfam family: Bacterial small subunit ribosomal RNA
Source: RNAcentral
GUAGUCCACGCCGUAAACGGUGGGUGCUAGGUGUGAGCGGUAUUCCACGCCGUUCGUGCCGCAGCUAACGCAUUAAGCACCCCGCCUGGGGAGUACGGCCGCAAGGCUAAAACUCAAAGGAAUUGACGGGGGCCCGCACAAGCAGCGGAGCAUGUGGCUUAAUUCGACGCAACGCGAAGAACCUUACCAAGGCUUGACAUGCAGGGAAAUCUCCCAGAGAUGGGAGUCCGCAAGGGUCCUGCACAGGUGGUGCAUGGUUGUCGUCAGCUCGUGUCGUGAGAUGUUGGGUUAAG